GACGAACGCUGGCGGCGUGCUUAACACAUGCAAGUCGAGCGGAGCGGCGAACGGGUGAGUAACGCGGGAGUAACUGGCCCCCUCUCUGGGAUAACCGUUGGAAAAGGCUGCUAAUACCGGAUAGUGGGGGCUGACUCCCGUUCUAUCCGCUUGUUGGUGGGGUAGUGGCCUACCAAGGCGACGACGGGUGGCCGUCCUGAGAGGGCGCCCGGCCACAUUGGGCUGAGAUACGGCCCAAACUCCUACGGGAGGGAGCAGUGGGGAAUAUUGCACAAUGGGGGAAACCCUGAUGCAGCAACGCGCGGGCGGGAUGACGGCCUUCGGGUUGUAAACCGCUUUCAGCCAUGACGCGGUAGUGGCAGAAGAAGCACCGGCUAACUACGUGCCAGCAGCCGCGGUAAUUC
This 404-nucleotide ribosomal RNA is filed under the name uncultured bacterium. RNAcentral's name for it is "partial 16S ribosomal RNA". It matches the Rfam family "Bacterial small subunit ribosomal RNA", at positions 28 to 526 of the family's 1533-position model. The record is from RNAcentral.